CAGAGGCUUGAAUUCUGAGGACCCGUGUCAAGAAGGCUGAGCCCCAGUCAUACUCGGUCCACCAAGCAGGCACCCACACCAGCUUGAAUUUUGCUGCUCCACGGAAUUAUUUUGAGGAAGGAGAAAGACAACGUCUGGGACAUCUAGACAUCUCGACCAGCAUCUGGGUGAGUCCCCCGACAUGUAUCCGAGGCUCCUUCAACAUGUCCAUCUGAGGAACAUUUGUUUCCAUCUGGGAAACAUUGAGUGCCUGUCUGAUUAGUUUUCAUGUUGGAAAUCCCACCUGUGAGGUCUAAGGACUCAGGUCAUGGGCUUGGCAGGAACUGGAAACACCCACUCUGAGUUUUAUGCUUUCUAGUGUCCUUCCCCUCAUUAAGGUUUCCAUCAGCUAAUGAGGUCUGGUUUGUAUUUGGC
This 414-nucleotide long non-coding RNA is filed under the name Bos indicus x Bos taurus (hybrid cattle). RNAcentral describes it as "lncRNA (ENSBIXG00005025069.1)". Lineage: Eukaryota; Metazoa; Chordata; Mammalia; Artiodactyla; Bovidae. The record is from RNAcentral.